CGUCGGUGUUAACUGGCAUGUCCUGUGGAACGUCCUGCCGGUGGCGGUCCGGGCUCUCGGCUUGCGUAAAGGCUCACGCCCGAAGCAGGCCGAACAGUACCGGCCGCCGGUCCAAUCCCGCCACGGUGCUCUUCACCGAGUGUCGAGGUGGGCCGGCACGUUUACUUUGAACAAAUUAGAGUGCUUAAAGCAGGCUGGUGUCCGCCUGAAUACUGUGUGCAUGGAAUAAUGGAAUAGGACCUCGGUUCUAUUUUGUUGGUUUUCGGAACCCGAGGUAAUGAUUAAUAGGGACAGGCGGGGGCAUUCGUAUUGCGACGUUAGAGGUGAAAUUCUUGGAUCGUCGCAAGACGAACCUAAGCGAAAGCAUUUGCCAAGUAUGUUCUCGUUAAUCAAGAACGAAAGUUAGAGGUUCGAAGGCGAUCAGAUACCGCCCUAGUUCUAACCAUAAACGAUGCCAGCCAGCGAUCCGCCGAAGUUCCUCCGAUGACUCGGCGGGCAGCUUCCGGGAAACCAAAGCUUUUGGGUUCCGGGGGAAGUAUGGUUGCAAAGCUGAAACUUAAAGGAAUUGACGGAAGGGCACCACCAGGAGUGGAGCCUGCGGCUUAAUUUGACUCAACACGGGAAACCUCACCAGGCCCGGACACCGGAAGGAUUGACAGAUUGAGAGCUCUUUCUUGAUUCGGUGGGUGGUGGUGCAUGGCCGUUCUUAGUUGGUGGAGCGAUUUGUCUGGUUAAUUCCGAUAACGAACGAGACUCUAGCCUGCUAACUAGGCGAUUUCCGGUACCCACAAUAGUGUUACCGGCGAUUCAAUUUCUUCUUAGAGGGACAGGCGGCUCCUAGCCGCACGAGACUGAGCAAUAACAGGUCUGUGAUGCCCUUAGAUGUCCUGGGCCGCACGCGCGCUACACUGAAGGAAUCAGCGUGUCUUCCCUGGCCGACAGGCCCGGGUAACCCGUUGAACCUCCUUCGUGCUAGGGAUUGGGGCUUGCAAUUGUUCCCCAUGAACGAGGAAUUCCCAGUAAGCGCGAGUCAUAAGCUCGCGUUGAUUACGUCCCUGCCCUUUGUACACACCGCCCGUCGCUACUACCGAUUGAAUGAUUUAGUGAGGUCUUCGGACUGGUGCGCGGCGAUCGGCUUAUACUGCCGGCCGCCGAUGUUGCCGGAAAGAUGACCAAACUUGAUCAUUUAGAGGAAGUAAAAGUCGUAACAAGG
RNAcentral lists this ribosomal RNA (1213 nucleotides) under Zuata carvalhoi. Its description in RNAcentral is "SSU rRNA". It matches the Rfam family "Eukaryotic small subunit ribosomal RNA", at positions 711 to 1799 of the family's 1831-position model. Lineage: Eukaryota; Metazoa; Arthropoda; Insecta; Hemiptera; Cercopidae. The record is from RNAcentral.